UUGAACGCUGGCGGCAUGCCUUACACAUGCCAGUCGAACGGUAACAGGUCUUCGGAUGCUGCCGAGUGGCGAACGGGUGAGUAAUACAUCGGAACGUGCCCAGACGUGGGGGAUAACGAGGCGAAAGCUUUGCUAAUACCGCAUACGAUCUAAGGAUGAAAGCAGGGGACCGCAAGGCCUUGUGCGUUUGGAGCGGCCGAUGGCAGAUUAGGUAGUUGGUGGGAUAAAAGCUUACCAAGCCGACGAUCUGUAGCUGGUCUGAGAGGACGACCAGCCACACUGGGACUGAGACACGGCCCAGACUCCUACGGGAGGCAGCAGUGGGGAAUUUUGGACAAUGGGCGAAAGCCUGAUCCAGCAAUGCCGCGUGCAGGAUGAAGGCCUUCGGGUUGUAAACUGCUUUUGUACGGAACGAAAAGGCUCUGGCUAAUACCUGGGGCACAUGACGGUACCGUAAGAAUAAGCACCGGCUAACUACGUG
RNAcentral lists this ribosomal RNA (481 nucleotides) under uncultured bacterium. Its description in RNAcentral is "partial 16S ribosomal RNA". It matches the Rfam family "Bacterial small subunit ribosomal RNA", at positions 30 to 507 of the family's 1533-position model. The record is from RNAcentral.